RNA transcript from Cucurbita maxima (winter squash), 700 nucleotides. RefSeq lists it as uncharacterized. The transcript has 2 exons. The record is from RefSeq and is a predicted model, not a curated record. NCBI's taxonomy places the organism in Eukaryota, Viridiplantae, Streptophyta, Magnoliopsida, Cucurbitales, Cucurbitaceae.
AUUCCCACGCUUUCUUUUUCCCUCUGCAAAGUUUUCCAACUGUGGAGACCGCGUGGACGGCCUUUCGGGCAUUUUUCUCCAGCAGCCGAGGCGUGUUGAAACAGAUAAGCACCACAAAAAUAUCUGUUCAGCUCGUUCUGUUUGGAAUUAGCGGGUUUUGAUUUUGCUGACUGAGGAGGUUGGAUCAUGCAACAUGGUUCUUGACAGUGUCCUGUCUUCUCCUCACAGGAGGUCCCCAUCAUUCCGAAAGGCCUUUCCUCCGAAUGAGUUGGGUAGUUGGUCGACACUCAUUCAGCGACAUCGCUUCCUCCUCACAGCACUUGUCCUCUUGACUUUUCUUUGCACGAUUUACCUUUACUUUGCUGUCACCUUAGGCUCUUCCUCUUGCUCUGGAUUGACUGGGGCGCAAAAGGCUCAGUGUCAACUGGAGCUUGCAAAGACUUCCAUGGCUAAAGGGAAACUGAAAAUUCUUUAAUACUCGGGUUAGUGCUCCGAAAUUCGUGCAUUUUGUUUGUAAUUCUGAACAAUUUGGGUUGAAGAUUUAAAAAGAGAAAAAAAAAAGAAAGAAAGAAAAUGAGUUCAAGUUAGUCAGUUUGCCAUACAAAGUUGUGUAGUAAAAUGCAAGUGAACUCUGUAUACAUUAUUAUCUGAGAAAUGAAUUUCUUAACACAAAGAAUGCAUUAACCAGUCAUUUUGUGUU